AGGGCAGCCUGUGGAAGGGCUUGUUUCACCCCGCCACUUAGUAUUCUUCCAGAAUGGAAAGUGGCGUCGUCUGUUGACAAAAAAACCAAAUAUUUUAAGGCCUUUAAAUAUUCUAUUCCGACUGGAACUUCGUAUUAUUUCUUUCAAAGCAUCUACAUGUUGAUUGUCUCGUCUGAGAAAUAGGUAAAGCUAUCAGAUGAGAUAACUAUUCUCUCUUUGUAGAGUGAUAGGUAAAGCUAUCACUCUACAAAGAGAGAAAAUUUUUAAGGGGGCAAAAAAAAUCGUCUCUGACUGAACUGUCGAUAGCGAUUUAUAACAAGGAAAUUGUCUCCAUAGAGGAACAACCAAUCAGAAGCGACGUUCGCUCUCUGACAUCAGAUAAUUCAUCUAGAGAGAUGAUUUUUCUUAAGAGCUGUGUAGACCCCCUGGAAACUCCUUGCGCAUUUAGUGUCGAUGAAAUUUUAAUCACUUAUACAGUAUAUCCAGUCGAAAGAUAUUUGCAUACCGAGUCCCGCAUUACUCGCUCUACUUUUUAGGAGUGCGUCGUGUUUGUGAUAAACAGUGUACAUGGCUUAUCUAGCUGAUUCUUCACGAAACAUUGGCGUCAGCCAUCCAUAAUCCUAGGUUACAAAAAACAAUUAGCAGUGUAUUAAUCGUAGAAAGGAUAUUUCAGAGAAAAAGAUUGAAAGACUAAAUUGACGAUUAUCUUCGUGUCUUGACUUAAAUGUAAGUUUAAUGGAAAAGAUUUUUUAUUUUCCUAGUGGAUAUAAACUGAAUAUAUUCGAUUUGAAAUCGAUACGAAGAAGAUUACUAUCAUUAUCUCAGUUUAUUGUAUCACAACUUUUCUAUGACGAGAAAGAAAGGAUAAAUCGGUUAAUUUCCUUCUGGUGGUGAAAAUAUUAAAACAAUUCCUUAAUUCUUGAUGGAAAAUGGUUGGAUAAAAUUAUAGUUAUUAUUACUAUUUGUGUAUCAAAUCAAGUACGAAAUUCUCGUUGGUUUGGGGUCUGGUUACAUCUGACAAUUGAAAUCGUUCCAAAGAUGCCUUUUCGGCUUUUCUCCCGACAUUCGGUAUUGACGCGAAAACUUUUUUUAAUGACAAAACGUCCACCCUUUGGCUAUUUUUUUAUAUCGUCUAAACAGGAAAAAAUUGCGGACAUUUUUUUAAAAGUAUUGUUUAUGAUCGAGACGUUUUCUGUACUUUUAUCCUAUCAAAAGAUAUGUUUGAUCCGAUUUUUCCCAAUGAGGAAUCGAACGAAAACUUAUUACUAAUGGUUUGUCUGUUUCUCCAGUUACGUGCCUCAAGCCGAUAAUACCGAUGGUAUGGAAAGAUAAAGCGCUAGAUCUGUCCA
RNAcentral lists this long non-coding RNA (1349 nucleotides) under Androctonus crassicauda. The record is from RNAcentral. Lineage: Eukaryota; Metazoa; Arthropoda; Arachnida; Scorpiones; Buthidae.